UUUUGACCUCGGAUCAGGUAGGGAUACCCGCUGAACUUAAGCAUAUCAAUAAGCGGAGGAAAAGAAACCAACAGGGAUUGCCCUAGUAACGGCGAGUGAAGCGGCAACAGCUCAAAUUUGAAAUCUGGCUCUUUUAGAGUCCGAGUUGUACUUUGCAGAGGGCGCUUUGGCUUUGGCAGCGGUCCAAGUUCCUUGGAACAGGACGUCACAGAGGGUGAGAAUCCCGUACGUGGUCGCUGGCUAUUGCCGUGUAAAGCCCCUUCGACGAGUCGAGUUGUUUGGGAAUGCAGCUCUAAAUGGGAGGUACAUUUCUUCUAAAGCUAAAUAUUGGCCAGAGACCGAUAGCGCACAAGUAGAGUGAUCGAAAGAUGAAAAGCACUUUGGAAAGAGAGUCAAACAGCACGUGAAAUUGUUGAAAGGGAAGCGCUUGCAGCCAGACUUGCUUGCAGUUGCUCAUCCGGGCUUUUUUGCCCGGUGCACUCUUCUGUAGGCAGGCCAGCAUCAGUUUGGGCGGUAGGAUAAAGGUCUCUGUCACGUACCUCCUUUCGGGGAGGCCUUAUAGGGGAGGCGACAUACUACCAGCCUGGACUGAGGUCCGCGCAUCUGCUAGGAUGCUGGCGUAAUGGCUGUAA
Molecule: ribosomal RNA, 632 nt
Filed under: Alternaria solani
Lineage: Eukaryota; Fungi; Ascomycota; Dothideomycetes; Pleosporales; Pleosporaceae
Description: eukaryotic LSU rRNA
Rfam family: Eukaryotic large subunit ribosomal RNA
Source: RNAcentral